This 440-nucleotide ribosomal RNA is filed under the name uncultured bacterium. RNAcentral describes it as "partial 16S ribosomal RNA". It matches the Rfam family "Bacterial small subunit ribosomal RNA", at positions 338 to 795 of the family's 1533-position model. The record is from RNAcentral.
CCUACGGGUGGCUGCAGUAGGGAAUAUUGGACAAUGGGCGAAAGCCUGAUCCAGCAAUGCCGCGUGAGUGAUGAAGGCCUUAGGGUUGUAAAGCUCUUUUACCCGAGAUGAUAAUGACAGUAUCGGGAGAAUAAGCUCCGGCUAACUCCGUGCCAGCAGCCGCGGUAAUACGGAGGGAGCUAGCGUUGUUCGGAAUUACUGGGCGUAAAGCGCACGUAGGCGGCGAUUUAAGUCAGAGGUGAAAGCCCGGGGCUCAACCCCGGAACUGCCUUUGAGACUGGAUUGCUAGAAUCUUGGAGAGGCGAGUGGAAUUCCGAGUGUAGAGGUGAAAUUCGUAGAUAUUCGGAAGAACACCAGUGGCGAAGGCGGCUCGCUGGACAAGUAUUGACGCUGAGGUGCGAAAGCGUGGGGAGCAAACAGGAUUAGAUACCCGUGUAGUC